UACGAAGGGUGCAAGCGUUAAUCGGAAUUACUGGGCGUAAAGCGUGCGUAGGCGGUGAGUUAAGUCUGUCGUGAAAUCCCCGGGCUCAACCUGGGAAUGGCGAUGGAUACUGGCUCGCUAGAGUGUGAUAGAGGAUGGUGGAAUUCCCGGUGUAGCGGUGAAAUGCGUAGAGAUCGGGAGGAACAUCAGUGGCGAAGGCGGCCAUCUGGAUCAACACUG
This 219-nucleotide ribosomal RNA is filed under the name uncultured bacterium. RNAcentral's name for it is "partial 16S ribosomal RNA". It matches the Rfam family "Bacterial small subunit ribosomal RNA", at positions 524 to 742 of the family's 1533-position model. The record is from RNAcentral.